UUGCCUUAGUACGGCGAGUGAAGCGGCAAAAGCUCAAAUUUGAAAUCUAGCACUUUCAGUGUUCGAGUUGUAAUUUGAAGAAGGUAACUUUGGAAUUGGCUCUUGUCUAUGUUCCUUGGAACAGGACGUCACAGAGGGUGAGAAUCCCGUGCGAUGAGAUGUCCAAUUCUAUGUAAAGUGCUUUCGAAGAGUCGAGUUGUUUGGGAAUGCAGCUCUAAGUGGGUGGUAAAUUCCAUCUAAAGCUAAAUAUUGGCGAGAGACCGAUAGCGAACAAGUACAGUGAUGGAAAGAUGAAAAGAACUUUGAAAAGAGAGUGAAAAAGUACGUGAAAUUGUUGAAAGGGAAGGGCUUGAGAUCAGACUUGGUAUUUUGUGUUCCUUAUUCUUUUUGGAUUUGGUUCCUCACAGCUUACCGGGCCAGCAUCGGUUUGGAUGGUAGGAUAAUGACAUUGGAAUGUAGCUUUGCUUCGGUGAAGUGUUAUAGACUUUGUUGAUACUGCCUAUCUAGACCGAGGACUGCGUCUUUGACUAGGAUGCUGGCGUAAUGAUCUUAAGCCGCCCGUCUUGAACACCGGACCAA
RNAcentral lists this ribosomal RNA (579 nucleotides) under Dujonia zeylanoides. RNAcentral describes it as "[Candida] zeylanoides partial large subunit ribosomal RNA". It matches the Rfam family "Eukaryotic large subunit ribosomal RNA", at positions 75 to 669 of the family's 3401-position model. The record is from RNAcentral. Lineage: Eukaryota; Fungi; Ascomycota; Pichiomycetes; Serinales; Debaryomycetaceae.